Molecule: ribosomal RNA, 846 nt
Filed under: Triticum aestivum (bread wheat)
Lineage: Eukaryota; Viridiplantae; Streptophyta; Magnoliopsida; Poales; Poaceae
Description: partial small subunit ribosomal RNA
Source: RNAcentral
AUGGCUUCCUCGCGCGCCGCCGCCGGGCCCUUCGCGCUCUGCAUUCUGCUGCUCGCGUCCCCGGCCGUCUCCGCCACGUUCCUGUUCGACGGCGGGAAGUCGGCGGCGAAGAGCAAGGGCAAGGGCAAGGAGGCGGUCGACGUGGAGUGGCGGCCGGCCACCGCGACGUGGUACGGCGAAGCCGAGGGCGACGGCAGCACCGGGGGGGCGUGCGGGUACGGGACGCUGGUGGACGUGGUGCCGAUGAAGGCGCGGGUGGGGUCGGUGAGCCCGGUGCUGUUCAAGGGCGGCGAGGGGUGCGGCGCCUGCUACAAGGUCCGGUGCCUCGACCACGGCAUCUGCUCGCGCCGCGCCGUCACCGUCAUCGUCACCGACGAGUGCCCCGGCGGCGGCCUCUGCGGCGGCGGCAACACGCACUUCGACCUCAGCGGCGCCGCCUUCAGCAGGAUGGCCGUCGCCGGCGCCGGGGCGCACCUGCGCGACCGUGGGCAGCUCAAGGUGAUCUACCGAAGGACGGCGUGCAAGUACGGCGGGAAGAACAUCGCGUUCCAUGUGAACGAGGGGUCGACGAGCUUCUGGCUCUCGCUGCUCGUCGAGUUCGAGGACGGCGAGGGCGACAUCGGCUCCAUGCAGCUCAAGCAGGCGAACUCGGCGAAGUGGCUGGACAUGAAGCACGUGUGGGGCGCCACGUGGUGCCUCUACGGGGGCCCCACGGCGGGCCCAUUCUCCGUGAGGCUGACGACGCUGUCCGCACCCAAGACGCUCACGGCCCGGGACGUCAUCCCCAGGAACUGGGCGCCCAAGGGCACCUACUCCUCCCGCCUCAACUUCGACGCCUCGCUCUGA